This is an RNA transcript of Xiphophorus couchianus (Monterrey platyfish), 9989 nucleotides long. It is a transcript of the gene named CUGBP Elav-like family member 6, with no coding region annotated. The record is from RefSeq and is a predicted model, not a curated record. NCBI's taxonomy places the organism in Eukaryota, Metazoa, Chordata, Actinopteri, Cyprinodontiformes, Poeciliidae. The transcript is spliced from 14 exons.
GAGGAAGGGGGUUGGGGCGACCCGAAAAUGGAAAUUCGUUUUAAAGCACACGAUGAAGUAAACACCACUAACUCCAAACGACGGGGCUUAUAGGCUGUAUUUAAAAAAAAAAGAAAAGAAAAGGAAGAAAAGCAGCGAGACGAACCGGAGGAGGAGUGGGAAGAGAGGAAGAUAUAAAGAAAGGGAGGGGGGUGUGCACUGUGACACUGUGCAGUUGACUACAUAGAGAGAGAGAGAGAGAGAGAGAGAGAGAGAGAGAGAGAGAGAGAGAGAGAGAGAGUAGCCCGCCGGCCCAUUGAGGAAAGAUGGCUACAGUCACUGCAAACGGAGUGCAGCAGGAGAAUGGAUUCAGCACCACGAACAGCGCCGGCAGGAUGAACGGGCUUACCAUCGGCCAGAACACCAUUCCAAUGAAGGACCACGACGCCAUCAAGCUUUUCAUCGGGCAGAUUCCCAGAAACCUGGAGGAAAAAGACCUGAAACCCCUGUUUGAGGAAUUCGGAAAGAUAUAUGAACUCACUGUACUGAAAGACAGGUUUACGGGAAUGCAUAAAGGAUGUGCCUUUCUAACAUACUGUGCCAGAGAGUCAGCACUGAAGGCCCAAAGCGCCCUCCAUGAACAGAAGACGCUGCCAGGGAUGAACCGACCCAUUCAGGUGAAGCCAGCCGACAGCGAAGGACGGGGAGAAGACAGGAAGCUGUUUGUAGGAAUGCUCGGCAAACAACAGAGCGAGGACGAUGUCCGGCGGCUGUUCGAGACUUUCGGCCAGAUUGAGGAGUGCACCGUCCUUCGAGGGCCUGAUGGGGCCAGUAAGGGCUGUGCCUUUGUCAAGUACUCGAGCCACGCAGAAGCGCAAGCCGCCAUCAAUAGUUUGCAUGGUGGACAAACUAUGCCUGGUGCCUCGUCCAGCCUGGUGGUCAAAUUUGCAGACACUGAUAAGGAGAGGACCCUGCGUAGAAUGCACCAGAUGGCAGGCCAACUCGGCAUCUUCAGUCCCAUGACCAUCCAAUUUGGGGCCUAUGGCGCCUACUCUCAUGCUGUAAGUCUCAGCCCAGCGGGAGAGGAGACGCAGAUGAUGCAACAGCAAGCAGCCCUGAUGGCAGCAACACAAGGGUCCUACCUGAACCCCAUGGCAGCCAUUGCUGCCGCGCAAAUGCAGCAAAUGGCAGCUUUCAAUGUCAAUGGCCUGGUGGCUACUCCUAUGACACCGUCCUCAGGCACCAGCACACCCCCAGGCAUUUCUGCUACAGCCGUGCCAAGCAUAGCCACACCUAUUGGGGUCAACGGAUUCAGUGCCCUCCCGCCUCAAAGCAAUGGCCAGCCUACAUCGGAGCCCAUCUACACCAACGGCAUUCAUCCUUACCCAGCACAGAGUCCAACGGUGACCGACCCUCUCCAACAGGCUUAUGCUGGCGUCCAGCACUACGCAGCAGCCUACCCUGCCGCCUAUGCGCCAAUCAGCCAAGCGUUCCCCCAGCAACCGACCAUCAUUCCCCAGCAACAGAGGGAAGGGCCGGAAGGUUGCAACCUGUUUAUUUAUCACCUGCCCCAGGAGUUUGGAGAUGCUGAGCUCAUGCAAAUGUUCCUUCCUUUCGGCAACGUCAUCUCUGCCAAAGUCUUUGUGGACCGAGCCACCAAUCAGAGCAAAUGCUUUGGCUUUGUGAGUUUCGAUAACCCAUCCAGUGCUCAGGCCGCUAUCCAGGCUAUGAAUGGCUUCCAGAUAGGCAUGAAGAGGCUGAAGGUGCAGCUAAAGCGGCCAAAGGACGCCAACCGACCUUACUGACUCGUCUGCUGUCCAUAAACAGUGUGAGGUGGCCUUUCUCCGCUAUAGCCACACACCCCACCGACACCUGUCAUGGGGUCAAGUUCCCACAGCUGAUGAAGGGCCACAACACCUUAUUUCCACAAGUGCAGUAAAAGUACAAAGACUCCUCGUUCUGCUACAUAUCAUGAAGAAAGGGUGGUCCCUUGAUCCUCCUGGAAAGCCGCUGAAAGAUUGAGUGACUGAAAGAAGGAUCCCAGAGUUGUUGUUUUUUAUUAUCAUUUUAGUUUUUUCUUUCUUCGCAAAUGCCUCUCUUUACCCUUUUUUGCUUUGGCAUCUGUGGAAGAAGAUUUUUUGCAGAGACCAACUUUUUGCUGCUGUUUUUUAGACAUGAUGAAAAGGAAAAAAAAACUUUAUAGACUCAUUAUGCUCAAAGCAUGCAUACUGACACAGGAUACAGAUAAACUCACUUAAAAAAUAUUUUAAAAAAUAAACCAAACAUACAAGAAAUUAAACAAGCUGCACUUAAUGAAUGAAAAACUUAAAAAAAAAAAAGACUCUGUACAUGUAUAAAUACGUGCAAAUGCCAACACAAGAACUGAAGCAAAUCCAUUCGCGCACACACACACUAAUAUACACACACACACACCAGCCUGCUGCCAUUUUGGUUUUUGUGCCUACACAGGUGUUGUGCUCUGUGACAGGGCAAGCUCUGCAUCGAAGUGGAAAAACAAGAAGAAGAAAAGGAGAGGAGUGGGGAAAUCCAGGAUAAUUUACAUGCAUCAUUCCUUAGGAAAUAGGGACCAAAGGACUAAAUGCUUUUUAAAAGAUUAUAAAUAUAUAAAUAUAUAAAUAUAUAUUUAAAAACUCAUACCUUGUAGCUGCAAGUAUUUACUCCUAGUGGAAAAAAAGAAUCAUUAAAUCAAUAUCCAGUGGCUUACUGUAAGAAUGAAUAAAAGAAAAUGGAAAUAAUGUAUAAAAAAGACAUGGAGUCGUAGUAUAGAGGCUGAUCUUUCGCUCUGGAUGCUGAUUUUAGCAGCAGGUUGUAGAAUAGUGAUGUAUACUAGAAAAAAGUACAUUUGCAAAUUUUUGCUGUUGUUAAAAAAAAUCAUUUAAUUUCCCAUUAAAGGUUGGUGAAAGACGGAGUAACAAAAACAUUUAUCCAUGCCUUUGGACGGCACAUGUUCAUUUUUUUUUUUUCUUAUAUGUAAAGGUAACAGCCACUGGAUAUCCCACUCAUCAUGAUGUAUAAGGCACUGCACUCUCUGACAGCUAAAGAGACUGAUCUAGCAGACUAAAAAGGAAAACAAGAGACAAAGAAAACUGAACUCCGUGAUGUCUGUGCUGGACAGCGUGCAGAUAUUUAAGGCUUCUCACUGGCCUUUGUGUUCAAGCGACAAUCCACUGUAAAGACCAAGUCAAAUGGACAUGGGGUGUCUGUUUUUCCCCUCUCUUUCUGUUCAAUCCCCUUGACCUUUUGUAUUGCAUCAUGAAGUGUAUAUUUUGAAGCCACACAUGAUUGAAAUAAGAUGGAUAAAAGACAGAUAGAUGACCAUGAAGAGAACAGCGAAAAAGCACGAGAGGAGGAGGAGUAGGGCAACAGCUACUGAAACUGCCAGGAGAAUGAACUGUGUUUAGCAAUGAACUAACCUUGUGGUUCUCUCCUCAAGUUAACGCCGAAAAAAAAAAAAAAAGCAGGGAUGUCUGAAUGAUAAGACUAGGCUGUCUGUGUCUAGCAGAGGCAUUGCAGUUUAGAGUGACAAAAGUUUCAUCUUAUUUGUUAGCAGAUAAAAAUAAACACAAAUUUAAUCUAAUACAUUCAAGGAGAAAUAGGGUAGGCUUUUAAGGCUCAUUUAGCUCAGCUGAACCUAAAUUAUACAAAUUUUACUUUAAACAUAUUCCCUGACCAUUUUUUUCACUUUAUAAAACAUGGAAGUUAUGAGUAAAAGCAACUGCUUAAACAGACUAAAUCUAUGAAAUGUAGGAACCACUCAUCAUCCUCGCUCAACUCAUCCAUAGCUUUUCAGAGUAAAGCACUCUAGUGUUGUCACUUUUUGAUUUAGAGUCCUGUUGCCUUUUUUGACUGUUUUAGAGCUGUACAUGUGGACUCCUCUGUAAAGCCCAAUCAAUAUGUUUGGAGUCAGGGAGGAGCUCUGGUUGUUUUCAGUCACUAUGAGCACUUCCUAAUUUGCUCUGCAGAACACCAGCUCGCAUCCUUAAACCAGCCCUUCUGAGCACUGACAGCUGGCAUUAAGAGGCAGGGCAAGGCAAGAAGGAGUUGAGCAGGAAGAGAGGAAAUCAGUGGCUUAUCACAUUUACAUCCUUCUUAAGUGAUGCUUCAUGGUUGUUGCAGCACAAUGUUGCUGACAGAAUUAGAAAUGGCAGUCAAGCCUUUGGCGACAAAUAUUAUGGAUCUGUAAUGUAUGCUUCCGAAGAACCCGUAUUUAUUUCCAAACAGAUCAUAUUUCCUGCUUGGACUCUUCUUCUUGCCUUCUCUUUCCUCAAGAUUUUGACACAACAACGCGGAGAGUUUAACCAAAAGAAGUGCCAGCGCAUUCCAUUUUUCUAAUGCUCCACCUCUGUCAUUUAAGUGGGCUUAAGGUCUUGAUCCAAGCUUUGUCAACCACCUUGUCUUAUUGGGACUUUUUUAAUGUUUGAACAUUACACACGCCCUUUCAAAUCACAGCUGUUCACCAUAACCCCACUGAUUUUUUAUUUUAACCUACUGAGCUACUGCGUGUGCUCACUACACUUCAAUUAUCUCUUGCACUAUAUUAAACAUGCUUUUCAACAUUCCCUAAUCACACCACAAUCAUAAGCCUCUAUACAUUAGCAGCAAUGAAGUGAAAAAUCACAGGGAUAAUCACCUGGACCCAAUGAUGGCAGAGAUGGUUCCCAACAUGCACAUGGGUGACAGAAGGAAGAUUAGGGAGAAUUAUGUCUGUGCCUACUCCUUGGCAAGGCUGCUGACAGCUGACCUGGCAUCACUAACACAGCCACAUUUACCAGGAGAGUGGAUGGGGAAUGCAAAACAAAACAAUCCAUAUUGGCCUUAAAAUUGCAGAGCAGAUUGGCAGUGCCAAAAACUAAAAUAGUAGUGCAAAGUCAAGCAAAGCAUUAGCUUUCCCUGCUCAACAACUGUUCCAAAAACAGUUGCUUAUAAAAUGGGUCAAAACCAACAAUUUUGUGGGAAAUGUCCAAUCCUGCUCUCGUAGCAGCUGAGAGUCCUGUGUAUCCGCAACAAAAUUGCUUCUCAGCAGUUGGCAAUAGAGGUCAACCAAUUUUACAAAACAACUUGCUCAGACUAGUUUCUUUUCCCUCCUUGUAUUUCUGCUAAGAGACUUCCAAAGCACACUUUUGCUCAACUGUAACAUAAUAUGCAGAAGCACAGCUCUUCAGAGAAGAAUGAUGUCCAACGAAUUGCUUAUUUUGUAAUGGAAUUAUUACAUAACAUUUCUUCUUGUACUUUUUCCCUACGUAACCUUUGGUAUAAAUGCCGAAGAAUGCAUGAAGUGGGUUAGAAAAAGGCUGCAUCCUCUGAACAGUUUGUGUUUAUUAUCUGUUUGAAGCAGAAGCCGUCAGUUGGCAGAGUAAUGUUCAAUGAGCAAUUGAAUGUUCCAUGCUUGUCUUGGCAAUCCCUAAAAUACACUCAGUAACAUAAAUCUUGCAUGCACGCUCCACUGAACUUUUCCAUCUUAAAUCAGAUGCUGUAGUGUUUUCUCUCCUAAUAGCAGGUUGAGUCCCCAGUGAGCCAAAAUCCAGCCCAGCUUAGCCUCCUGCUGUCUAGCUUGGCUGAUAGUGCAACAUUCAUGUAGCAUGUACCUGCUAUGCCAGAGCUAAAUUAGGAAAUGUGAAACUAGCACUUGAACACUUUUAACAAGGGUGCUCCGAUUACCUUUACACCCUGGGAAGGAUGGUGCUGAAGUGUUGAGCAUUGAAAGCAGAGACAGUGGCGUAUGUGCACUAGAGCUACCAAAAUGAGACAGAAAGUUUGUUUUUAGAGUUUUACAUUGCUUGUUGAAAUUUAAGUCUGCUUCUCUUUCAGUCUCUGAACCCUAAAAAGUGGCAACUACUAAGUUACCAAAUUGUGAUUUUGCAUAUUUCCUGAAAGUUGAUAUAGGUAAAGGUUAGUUAGGACUUUGUCUCUAAUAAUAUAGAACUAAGUAAAAGCUUUCAUACAACUUAUCAGAAUUGCUAUGUUACGACCACAAGCUUCAAAGUAUUUUAUUAGCAUUGUUCACAUACAAUGCCUUGCAGUGCAUUCAUUAUGAAGUGGAUGUAAAAGCACACAUGAUUUUCAAUAUUGUUCUACAAACUUAAAAACUCUAAAGUGUGGAGUACAUAUGUAUUCAGACCCCCCAAGUUAACACUUUGUAGAAUCACUGUUUGAUGCAGACACAUUCAGAGGUUUAUUUCUAACAGCUUUGCACAUCUGGCAGACUGUGUCCACCUGGAAUGGGUCAUUCUAUCACAUUAAUAUGCUUUCACCAAAACCACUACAUUGCAUCUCUACCUGUAUGUUCAGGUUUGUUGUUCUUUGGGACGUUGAGCCUUUGUCUCAGUCUUUGUGGCCCUAACAUGUUUUAUUUUCUAGCCCCUGCCCUUAGAUCCAUUUGUCUUCAUAUGAACUCCAACAAAUUGCCCUGUUUAGUGAAGUAAAGAAUUCCCACAGCAUGAUCCAGCCAUCGCCAUGUUCUAUGAUGAAGACCCUGGAUUUCUUUUCUGAUGAAUUCUUUCAGGCUUGUUUUAGGUAGAUGCUUUAGGAAAUUUGCAUUUCUGACAUACUUUUUCCAUUUUCUAGAUGACUGAUUGUGGGGUGUUGUAUGACUUAACCCGGCAUCAAGCUUCUCCACAACUUUAUCCCUGAUCUGUUUGCUGUUCCUUAGCUUUCUUGUUGUUGAGCUUUUUUUUCUCUAACAAACCCAUGAGGUCUUUAUAGAACAGUGUAAUCAAAUUACACACAGCAUACUAAAAUUUACACAGAUUAUCAAUUAUGUGGUUUUUGAAUGAAUGUGGUUGCAUUAAAUUUAUGAGGUGUAACUUUAUAAUGGGGUUGAAUGCAUUUGCACAGCUCACUUUUCACAUUUAAAUUCACACACACACAAAAAUCACAAAUAAUCCCGAUGAACUUUAGUGUUAGAUGUUAGGUGAAACAAAUUUAGAAACAAUCAGAGUGAACAGCAUUUCACUCUGGUGUGUCAUCAUUUAUGAAAUUAAAUAUUGCUUUGGCUCUGAUUUGCUCUUUUAACAUGAACUUAAAAAAAGGUUUCUAAAUUGAUGAGAUAUUUUAGCAAGGAAAUAAGAAAGAUGCAUGCAUAUUAUUACUUGCAAGGCUUGUUGUUUAGCGUUGCAUAUAUUCUUGGAGGAAUAGAGUGGAAUAUGAAUAUCCAACCCACUGGGUGCAUAACACUCUGAAAUAGUGGUGAUUGUCAAGGAAAGGAAGCAAAAUGUAAUUGACUGAAAGCAGAGAGAUAAUUAAAGGAACCUGUUGGACAGGAGGGAAGAAAUUAAUGCCUCUCAUUUAAUAGCUGCAUUGGGAAAGAGCUGUUCCAUCGUCUCAUUUUGGCACCUAAAAGGGUUUUGCUCUGGAAAUGGAAUUUUGGAUAGAAAAAGAUGGUGGGUGGGAAUAGUGGAAACAGGCACUGGGUGGUGUUGGUGCUGGUGGGGGGGUGCUGCGUGCUAAACUGAAACUCCACAAAAUCGCUCCCAAUGCUCAGGGCAUCAGGCACAAUGAUGUCAUGAUUAGUGGAGAGGUUCAGAGCCUUGCCUUAACCCUGAUCCUGAAAAGGUCGAGCAGACAAAUAGGGAGACAGUGUGAGGCAGCAGAGGGGACUGAUAUAUCAACAAAUUCUCGGUUUGGACCUAAAUGGUCAUAAUUCAAUUCCAAGAGUAACAAAGACACAUCUUAAUAUCCACCAGAAUGCACAGAAAAAGACUUAAGGUGUGUGUGGCGACAUUUAACAACACCAAGAAAUAAAGGUCAAGACUUUUUUUCUGUAUUUCUUAAUGUAAAUAGCCUUUGAAACACUAAUAAGGGCAAGGCUCUAUAGCAACUUGUGUUGAGAAGCUCAACUCUGUGGGACAAUGAUGUCACUAUAAAAUGUAUCCACAGCAGUGCAGGGAUUUAGGAGAGUUUAAGUCCUCUUAAGCCCCUUAGGUUUGGGCUGUGAACAUGCAUCCUACAACCGAAAGCGUCGGACCAAGGCUUAGAAAUUAUUUGACUUAGUGUCAGACCUAAGCCAUGGCCCCAAAAUGAUCCGUUAAUUAAGAUUCCGUGUACACCGUCAUGUCAUGAUUUUUCUGACAGAAGAAAGAUUGCCGGUGCAGUAAUUGGAUUAGUCCAAUUGGGGCUGAUGAACAGAUAUGGCAGUGACAGUAGAGUUCAUCCGUCUGUACAAACGCUCCGUGCUUGACAAUUUAGAGGCAAAAAGGAGAAGAAAACAUCAGCUACGAGUAGACUUUAAGAAAUUAAUCACAAGAAAACAUUUAGGCUUUUGCAGCAGUUACAGAGGCUUUUCCUCUCCAGGUACCAGUUUGUUUAGCAUGUACAUAAACCAUUUUGGAUUCAAGCAUUUAUGACACAAGGUUUGAAACUAUACAUACAUGGUUAGGCUGACACUGGAGGAACGGACAAACAACAAAGCAAUCCCAGCAGAACCCCUUAUUGCUUGAUCCAGUCUGCCACUGUUCUCCUAACCAGACAGCUGCAUUAUACCUGUACAUACAAUAUAGCUUAUUUUUAAAUUCUGUUUAUCUUUCUUUAUAGGUCGUACAUUAGAUCAUGUUCAAACGUAAAAAAAAAUAAAAGAAUGGCUAAUAUAUUUCAGUGAAACUGAGAAAAGGAACAUAUUGAAUAAUUUAUCAAAAGCAGAAGAUAAAAUGUUUUUAUUUCUUGUAAAGUGAAACACUGUUGUUUAAAAAGGGGGAUUUUAUACUCAUAUCAGUAAAUGUUUCUUUAUUUUUUCCACUCUGUUGUGUUAUUAACCGCUGAAGCUGGGCAAACCCGUUGUCACAAGGUUUAAUCGGAUAUCCUUUGAUCGUUUUUCUUUAUUUUUGGGGCCGUACAAUCCCUGUGUGAAAUCCCCUGUGGAUGGACGAGUUCAAAGAGAUUUUUCUCUCUGAAAGCUAUUAAAUCAAUACAAGAAUUAGCAAACUGCACUGUAAAAGGAUGAUUGAUGGACCUGGUCCGUGGAUUCAGAAAAAAAGAGUUUAUUGCACAACUGAGUCCUAAUGGUUUAGGUUUGUUGGAAAAAAGAAAAAAAAAUCUUACUUGAGACCUUGUGGUAUUUCAAAGCAAAGAAAAUAUAACCUCAAACAAAACAAAGAGAAAAGGAAAAAACCAGACAAAAAAUAUCAAAUUUUGCCAUCCUAUUGGUUUUGGGACCUAUGCUGUCAUAUAUUAUUGUCUUUUAACCACUGUUGGUGUCCUGUAACAGUACCCUUUUUAUGUCUUUAUUCUUUUCAGGGUUAUUUGUCAUCAUUGACAUAUCUCUGAGCUUCAUAUUCUCUGCUCCUUCCUAAGGGAUGUUUCAACCACAGCUUCUUACUUAAUGUGAGUCAAUCCACUAAAGACACUGUGCCAACAGUAGAUCAUGUGACACCACUUUGCUCCAGUCGAGUCGGUUUGUAAAAGUGAGUUGGGAAUUCUGCCUUAAACCCAGCACUACCUGUGAAGAGUGGUCAGACACUUUAUUCUGAGGAUGCCAAAAGCUCUUUAAAGCAAACAUUUAGCCAGAUUCAGUUUUAGCCUCAAGCCCAUUGUGACACAAAUAUGGAUGUGGUUGUCCACCUCCAUUUCCAUUGGUUACAAGGACCAAAAUGUAAACAAACUCAGCUAGCUGAGCAGUUUGCUUCAAUCAAGCAUUCAUUGAGAACCUUUAAAGUGUUCAUUAUUCUACGUUCAUAUUUUUUGUAUUAUAAAUCAUUACAUUCCCAGCUUCACUAUGUAAUUUCAGUUUUUAUUAAAUGUUCAAAAUUUAUUAUAAUUUUCUUAGGUAUUUUAAAAAUAAUCAUGUUUUUUUUUUCUUCUUUGAUUUGAAAGAUUUUGAGUUAAUGUUUCUGCUUUUUUUGUUUCAAACAGAAAUGUAAUUUAAAUACCGCUGGCUGGGGCCCGUUUCCCUGGUUCGGGAUGAUAUCUCCCAUAGUGAUCCUGAACUCUGUAGUUCUCUAGUUAUUAUAUUCUGCUUAGACUAAAAUAAAGCACAGUCCUGUAGAAGACGAAAACUC